CCUACGGGAGGCAGCAGUAGGGAAUAUUGCUCAAUGGGGGAAACCCUGAAGCAGCAACGCCGCGUGGAGGAUGAAGGUUUUCGGAUUGUAAACUCCUUUUGUUAGAGAAGAUAAUGACGGUAUCUAACGAAUAAGCACCGGCUAACUCCGUGCCAGCAGCCGCGGUAAUACGGAGGGUGCAAGCGUUACUCGGAAUCACUGGGCGAAAAGAGCGCGUAGGCGGGAUAGCAAGUCAGAUGUGAAAUCCUAUGGCUUAACCAUAGAACUGCAUUUGAAACUGUUAUUCUAGAGUAUGGGAGAGGUAGGUGGAAUUCUAGGUGUAGGGGUAAAAUCCGUAGAGAUCAAGAGGAAUACUCAUUGCGAAGGCAGCAUACCGGCGCCCGACUGACGCUGAGGCACGAAAGCGUGGGGAUCGAACAGGAUUAGAUACCCUUGUAGUC
This 440-nucleotide ribosomal RNA is filed under the name uncultured bacterium. RNAcentral's name for it is "partial 16S ribosomal RNA". It matches the Rfam family "Bacterial small subunit ribosomal RNA", at positions 338 to 795 of the family's 1533-position model. The record is from RNAcentral.